Molecule: ribosomal RNA, 428 nt
Filed under: uncultured Crenothrix sp.
Lineage: Bacteria; Pseudomonadati; Pseudomonadota; Gammaproteobacteria; Methylococcales; Crenotrichaceae
Description: bacterial SSU rRNA
Rfam family: Bacterial small subunit ribosomal RNA
Source: RNAcentral
UGGGGAAUAUUGGACAAUGGGCGCAAGCCUGAUCCAGCAAUACCGCGUGUGUGAAGAAGGCCCGAGGGUUGUAAAGCACUUUCAAUGGGGAGGAAAAAGCGCAGGCGAACACCCUGUGUAUUGACAUUACCCAUACAAGAAGCACCGGCUAACUCCGUGCCAGCAGCCGCGGUAAUACGGAGGGUGCGAGCGUUAAUCGGAAUUACUGGGCGUAAAGCGUGCGUAGGCGGCCUGCCAAGCCAGGUGUGAAAGCCCCGGGCUCAACCUGGGAACGGCACUUGGAACUGGCAAGCUAGAGUUGGGUAGAGGGGAGUGGAAUUUCAGGUGUAGCGGUGAAAUGCGUAGAUAUCUGAAGGAACACCAGUGGCGAAGGCGGCUCCCUGGACCCAAACUGACGCUGAGGUACGAAAGCGUGGGUAGCAAACAGG